Molecule: ribosomal RNA, 383 nt
Filed under: uncultured eukaryote
Lineage: Eukaryota
Description: partial 18S ribosomal RNA
Rfam family: Eukaryotic small subunit ribosomal RNA
Source: RNAcentral
CAAUAGCGUAUAUUUAAGUUGUUGCAGUUAAAAAGCUCGUAGUUGGAUUUCUGGUGGGAGCGAUCGGUCUGGCGCUUAGCGCGAGUACUUGCAUCGUCUCCGGCCAUCCUUGGGGAGAGUCUGUCUGGCAUUAGGUUGUCGGGCAGAGGAUCCUCAUCGUUUACUGUGAAAAAAUUAGAGUGUUCAAAGCAGGCUUAUGCCGUUGAAUAUAUUAGCAUGGAAUAAUAAGAUAGGACUUUGGUACUAUUUUGUUGGUUUGCGCACCAAAGUAAUGAUUAAUAGGGACAGUUGGGGGUAUUCGUAUUCCGUUGUCAGAGGUGAAAUCCUUGGAUUUACGGAAGACGAACUACUGCGAAAGCAUUUACCAAGGAUGUUUNCAUUAA